UCUCCGUAGGUGAACCUGCGGAGGGAUCAUUACCGAGUGAGGGUUCCGGCCCGACCUCCAACCCCGUAACUACCUUACCAUCCGUUGCCUCGGCGGGCCGCCGACGCCCUCUGGGCGUCGCCGUCGGCCCCCCGCGCCCUCGAGCGCCCGCCGCAGGACCAACCACAAACCCCUCGCGAACCCAGCGGACUGAAACGAAAUUAAAUACUUCAAAACUUUCAACGACGGAUCUCUUGGUUCUGGCAUCGAUGAAGAACGCAGC
This 262-nucleotide unclassified non-coding RNA is filed under the name uncultured fungus. RNAcentral's name for it is "sequence contains ITS1, 5.8S rRNA gene". The stretch from base 214 to 262 matches the Rfam family "5.8S ribosomal RNA", at positions 1 to 49 of the family's 154-position model. Lineage: Eukaryota; Fungi. The record is from RNAcentral.